Molecule: long non-coding RNA, 1609 nt
Organism: Macaca fascicularis (crab-eating macaque)
Lineage: Eukaryota; Metazoa; Chordata; Mammalia; Primates; Cercopithecidae
Source: Ensembl
UUUUUUUUUUUUUUUUUUGAGACAGUCUCGCUCUGUUGCGCAAGCUGGAGUGCAGUGGCACGAUCUCACCUCACUGCAGUCUCUGCCUCAGUACCAAGUAGCUGGGAUCACAGGCACCUGCCGCCACUGGGUUUCACCAUGUUAGCCAGGCUGGUCUUGAAUUCCUGACCUCAGGUAAUGCACCUGCCUUGGCCUCCUGAAGUGUGGGGAUUACAGGCGUAAGCCACUGCAUCCAGCCAAGACCUUGUCUUCAAAACAAAACCUAGAAGAAUCAAACCACUGAGAUCUGGAAAAAUUAGUUAUUUGUUACACAAAGCCUUGCACCAACAACUUCAGCAUCACUUGGAAGCUUGUGAUGCUCAGAAUCUUAGGCUUCAUCCCAGUCACCGAAUCAGGAUCUGCAUUUUUAAAAGAUCCUCAAGUGAUUCAUAGGUGUGAUAAAAUUUAGUUGUAGUUCAUUUAUCGUUUCCCCAACAAACAUGGGUUUUCGUAUAUUUGAAGUCUUAUUUUUGAUGUUACUACAGAUUAAAAGAAUUUUGUAAAUCAGCUUAGUGACAAGAAAAGUAAAACAUUUAAAAAUAGCAGUUAAACUGAAUAAUGUUUUUUUUCCUCCUAGACAACAGUUAGCAGAAGCCAUAUGUACAGUUGUUUCUGAAGGCGAGAUCAUUUUUUAACUAGAGCUGUUCCAUGGUGUAUUUAAGUUUUAUUUGAUACCAUCUCUGAUAAUAUUAGAGCCUUGAGAGCAUGUCUCAUAUGAAUAUUUUUGUUUUGCCUAUAGGUUGAAUUUCAUGAAAUGUUGAGGUGGAAGUCUGUGGAUUAGGACUGAGGGAAUACCUUCUUAGACUUCUUUGGUUCUUCUGAUUUUUUGACAGGCUUCCCUAAGUUUGUCCUAGGCCUCAUUCUACUUUAGUAGAUACUGGCAAGGUGCCCAUUAGGAGAGAAUAGAAUUUAGUAAAAUGUGAAAGGUCUUUAAAAAGUGUCAUUGGUAAAUAAGAUGAAAAGAUUGGAAAUCAUCGAAACUUUAUUAUUUAAAAGUUAAUGUAAACACUGUGUUCAGCCCAAGCACCUUAAGAGGUAUGUCUUCCAUUCUUACACAUCAACAUACAGAGGUGAAUGUUGUUAUAUGGCACAGCUUUUGUGUAGUACAUGUUUCAGUCACAGUAUUAAAGUUUCUAUUAAAAUAUUUCUAAAAAUAUGGGAAAUGUGAUAUUUUAAAUUAAUGGGCCUGAAAAAAAUAGCUUACAGUUAAAUGUUUUUAUCAGAUUAUGAGAGUUCCAAGUUUCUAGAUUAUUUGGAAUAGUUUACAAAAUAGUUUAAACAGAUUUUCAACUCGUUUCAAAACUCAAAUGUAGACGCCUGAAGGGUGAGAGAGAAAGAGAGUAUGUUACCACAUGUUUAUCAUUGGAAUGUAGAAACAAAUUCAUACUCAAUUCAGCAAAUACUUAUUGAAGAACAUAUUUCAGAUGCCUUGAUUGAUGAAAGUUGGUGACAGUAGGUAAUUGAGAAAGAUAUUAUGGUAUUGACAGAGCACAGUCCCUGCCUUUAAGGAGUUUACGUUUUAAAAGGGGAGAGACAGCCAGUAAACUCUAUUUCAAUAUAAUGUGUGAAU